GCUGGGCGUGGUGGCUCACGCCUGUAAUCCCAGCAUUUUGGGAGGCUGAGGCAGGUGGAUCACUUGAGGUCAGGAGUUUGAAAUCAGCCUGGCCAACAUGGUGAAACCCUGUCUCUA
Unclassified non-coding RNA from Macaca fascicularis (crab-eating macaque), 117 nucleotides. It matches the Rfam family "Metazoan signal recognition particle RNA". From Rfam's summary of the family: The signal recognition particle (SRP) is a universally conserved ribonucleoprotein. It is involved in the co-translational targeting of proteins to membranes. The record is from Ensembl. NCBI's taxonomy places the organism in Eukaryota, Metazoa, Chordata, Mammalia, Primates, Cercopithecidae.